GUGAAGAACGCAGCGAAAUGCGAUACGUAAUGUGAAUUGCAGAAUUCAGUGAAUCAUCGAAUCUUUGAACGCACAUUGCGCUCUCUGGUAUUCCGGAGAGCAUGCUUGUUUGAGUAUCAGUAAACACCUCAACUCCUUUAUUGUAGUUGGACUUGAGCUAUCCCAACAGGACUUUUUGUUCCUGGCGGGAGGCUUGAAAUGCAGGUGCAGCUGGACUUUCUUCUGAGCUAUAAGCAUAUUUAUUUAAUCCCUUAACACGGAUUAUUACUUUUUUGCUGCAGCUAACAUAAAGGUUGAAUUUCCAUUGAGCUGACUGAUGCAGGAAUUUGGCAAGGAAUUUUUUUAAUGACUUGUUAAACUCGAUCUCAAAUCAAGUAAGACUACCCGCUGAACUUAAGCAUAUCAAUAAGCGGAGGA
RNAcentral lists this unclassified non-coding RNA (417 nucleotides) under soil metagenome. RNAcentral describes it as "partial contains 5.8S ribosomal RNA, internal transcribed spacer 2, and large subunit ribosomal RNA". The stretch from base 2 to 119 matches the Rfam family "5.8S ribosomal RNA", at positions 37 to 154 of the family's 154-position model. The record is from RNAcentral.